Molecule: transfer RNA, 69 nt
Filed under: Bos taurus (domestic cattle)
Lineage: Eukaryota; Metazoa; Chordata; Mammalia; Artiodactyla; Bovidae
Rfam family: tRNA
About the family: Transfer RNA (tRNA) molecules are approximately 80 nucleotides in length. Their secondary structure includes four short double-helical elements and three loops (D, anti-codon, and T loops). Further hydrogen bonds mediate the characteristic L-shaped molecular structure. tRNAs have two regions of fundamental functional importance: the anti-codon, which is responsible for specific mRNA codon recognition, and the 3' end, to which the tRNAs corresponding amino acid is attached (by aminoacyl-tRNA synthetases). tRNAs cope with the degeneracy of the genetic code in two manners: having more than one tRNA (with a specific anti-codon) for a particular amino acid; and 'wobble' base-pairing, i.e. permitting non-standard base-pairing at the 3rd anti-codon position.
Source: Rfam by way of RNAcentral
CCUGGUGGCUUAGUUGGUAAAGAACCUGCCUGCUAUGCAGGAGACCCAGGGUCGAUCCCUGGGUCAGGA